Molecule: ribosomal RNA, 253 nt
Filed under: uncultured bacterium
Lineage: Bacteria
Description: partial 16S ribosomal RNA
Rfam family: Bacterial small subunit ribosomal RNA
Source: RNAcentral
UACGUAGGGUGCGAGCGUUCAUCGGAAUUACUGGGCGUAAAGCGUGCGCAGGCGGUUUUGUAAGCCAGAUGUGAAAUCCCCGGGCUUAACCUGGGAAUGGCAUUUGGGACUGCAAGGCUCGAGUGCGGCAGAGGAGACUGGAAUUCCUGGUGUAGCAGUGAAAUGCGUAGAUAUCAGGAGGAACACCGAUGGCGAAGGCAGGUCUCUGGGCUGACACUGACGCUCAUGCACGAAAGCGUGGGGAGCAAACAGG